CACGGAGUUAGCCGAUCCUUAUUCUCAAGGUACACUCAACCCGGUACACGUACCGGGGUUUGUUCCCCUGCAAAAGCAGUUUACAACCCAUAGGGCCGUCCUCCUGCACGCGGCAUGGCUGGUUCAGGCUUGCGCCCAUUGACCAAUAUUCCUUACUGCUGCCUCCCGUAGGAGUCUGGUCCGUGUCUCAGUACCAGUGUGGGGGUUUCUCCUCUCAGAGCCCCUAGGCAUCGUUGCCUUGGUAAGCCGUUACCUUACCAACUAGCUAAUGCCACGCGAGCCCAUCCGUCCCCUAUGAAUAUUUGGUUGAAAAACUGAUGCCACCUCUCAACUUCAUGCGGUAUUAAUCCCUCUUUCGAGGGGCUAUCCCCCGUGGGACGGGCAGGUUGCUCACGCGUUACGCACCCGUGCGCCACUCUCAUCACCCCCGAAGGAGUGAACUCCCGUUCGACUUGCAUGUAUUAGGCCUGCCGCUAGCGUUCAUCCUGAGCCAGGAUCAAACUC
This 504-nucleotide ribosomal RNA is filed under the name uncultured Parapedobacter sp. RNAcentral describes it as "partial 16S ribosomal RNA". Lineage: Bacteria; Pseudomonadati; Bacteroidota; Sphingobacteriia; Sphingobacteriales; Sphingobacteriaceae. The record is from RNAcentral.